GACGAACGCUGGCGGCGUGCUUAACGCAUGCAAGUCGAACGGAAAGGCCCUGCUUGCAGGGUGCUCGAGUGGCGAACGGGUGAGUAACACGUGGGUGAUCUGCCCCUUAUUUUGGGAUAAGCCUGGGAAACUGGGUCUAAUACUGGAUAGGACCAUGCUGUAGGUGGUGUGGUGGAAAGAUUAGUUUCGGUAAGGGAUGAGCUCGCGGCCUAUCAGCUUGUUGGUGGGGUAAUGGCCUACCAAGGCGUCGACGGGUAGCCGGCCUGAGAGGGUGGACGGCCACAUUGGGACUGAGAUACGGCCCAGACUCCUACGGGAGGCAGCAGUGGGGAAUAUUGAACAAUGGGCGCAAGCCUGAUGCAGCGACGCCGCGUGGGGGAUGACGGCCUUCGGGUUGUAAACUCCUUUCAGCCAUGACGAAGCCCUUGUGGUGACGGUAGUGGUAGAAGAAGCACCGGCUAACUACGUG
RNAcentral lists this ribosomal RNA (469 nucleotides) under uncultured bacterium. RNAcentral describes it as "partial 16S ribosomal RNA". It matches the Rfam family "Bacterial small subunit ribosomal RNA", at positions 28 to 507 of the family's 1533-position model. The record is from RNAcentral.